GACGAACGCUGGCGGCGUGCUUAACACAUGCAAGUCGAACGGUAAGGCCCUUCGGGGUACACGAGUGGCGAACGGGUGAGUAACACGUGGGUGAUCUGCCCUGCACUUCGGGAUAAGCCUGGGAAACUGGGUCUAAUACCGGAUAGGACCACUGCCUGCAUGGGUGGUGGUGGAAAGCUUUUGCGGUGUGGGAUGGGCCCGCGGCCUAUCAGCUUGUUGGUGGGGUGAUGGCCUACGAAGGCGACGACGGGUAGCCGGCCUGAGAGGGUGACCGGCCACACUGGGACUGAGAUACGGCCCAGACUCCUGCGGGAGGCAGCAGUGGGGAAUAUUGCACAAUGGGCGCAAGCCUGAUGCAGCGACGCCGCGUGAGGAUGACGGCCUUCGGGUUGUAAACCUCUUUCAGCGCCGACGAAGCGCAAGUGACGGUAGGUGCAGAAGAAGGACCGGCCAACUACGUGCCAGCAGCCGCCGUAA
RNAcentral lists this ribosomal RNA (477 nucleotides) under uncultured bacterium. RNAcentral describes it as "partial 16S ribosomal RNA". It matches the Rfam family "Bacterial small subunit ribosomal RNA", at positions 28 to 523 of the family's 1533-position model. The record is from RNAcentral.